GACGAACGCUGGCGGCGUGCUUAACACAUGCAAGUCGAACGGAAAGGCCCUGCUUUUGUGGGGUGCUCGAGUGGCGAACGUGUGAGUAACACGUGAGUAACCUGCCCUUGACUUUGGGAUAACUUCAGGAAACUGGGGCUAAUACCGGAUAGGAGCUCCUGCUGCAUGGUGGGGGUUGGAAAGUUUCGGCGGGUGGGGAUGGACUCGCGGCUUAUCAGCUUGUUGGUGGGGUAGUGGCUUACCAAGGCUUUGACGGGUAGCCGGCCUGAGAGGGUGACCGGCCACAUUGGGACUGAGAUACGGCCCAGACUCCUACGUGAGGCAGAAGUGGGGAAUAUUGCACAAUGGGCGGAAGCCUGAUGAAGCAACGCCGCGUGCGGGAUGACUGCCUUCGAGUUGUAAACCGCUUUCGCCUGUGACGAAGCGUGAGUGACGGUAAUGGGUAAAGAAGCACCGGCUAACUACGUG
Molecule: ribosomal RNA, 468 nt
Filed under: uncultured bacterium
Lineage: Bacteria
Description: partial 16S ribosomal RNA
Rfam family: Bacterial small subunit ribosomal RNA
Source: RNAcentral